UACAGAGGUCUCAAGCGUUGUUCGGAUUCAUUGGGCAUAAAGGGUGCGUAGGUGGCGGGGCAAGUCCGCUGUGAAAGUCCAGGGCUCAACCCUGGAAUGCCGGUGGAAACUGUCGGGCUAGAGUCCGGAAGAGGCGAGUGGAAUUCCUGGUGUAGCGGUGAAAUGCGCAGAUAUCGGGAGGAACACCAAUUGCGAAGGCAGCUCGCUGGGACGUUACUGACGCUGAGACGCGAAAGCGUGGGGAGCAAACAGG
Molecule: ribosomal RNA, 253 nt
Filed under: uncultured bacterium
Lineage: Bacteria
Description: partial 16S ribosomal RNA
Rfam family: Bacterial small subunit ribosomal RNA
Source: RNAcentral